Molecule: long non-coding RNA, 2272 nt
Filed under: Equus asinus (donkey)
Lineage: Eukaryota; Metazoa; Chordata; Mammalia; Perissodactyla; Equidae
Description: lncRNA (ENSEASG00005030533.1)
Source: RNAcentral
CAAAAACCAAAAACCAGGAAAUGAAAAACAAGGCUUAAUGAUCAGUUGGUGUCAAAACGUGACAGCAGGUCUCCAGAACUUCCUACCAGCACCAGGCUGCAGCUGGCUCAGGCGUCUGUCCUCAGCCUUCCGUCCAUGUGCGUCUCAAGGACAGGCCGUGGCUGUUGGCCUCCCACACUUCCCACCCUGUGAACGGAGUGGGGAGCAGCCCGGGCUCCUCCUGCCCCACGGGCGUGCUCACAUUCAUCAUCCAGACCAAGGGAUGGGUGAUCCACAGCACCUUCCUGCCCUUCCCCCAGGAGAGUUUCCCUUAAAUUCACUUACUCAGUUCUUCAACAAGUACUGCCUUCUAAGUGCUGACUGCUGUAUUAGGAGCUGGGGACACAGCAGCGACACACAGAAAAGUCCCUGUCACUGUGGCGCCCAUAUUCUAGUGUUUAAGUAGAGAUUAAAAUAGCAAACUAAAGGGAAAUUGCCCAGGUGGUUUCUGCAGACGUCAACCAGCGAGUGGAGGUGCAGCUCGCCUUCCUACCACCAAGGAGGGGGAUGGCUAGCUCAGCGGCACAUACACACCACCCUUCACUGUCUGCCUGAACUCUGGUCACUUCUGCAGCAACGUCAGUCCCCUGGAUGGAUCAGGUUUCCCCUGGGCCACAGCCCUGAUGAUGAUGAUGCCCCUGUACCUCUCGCAUGUGGGAGUCCGCGCGUUGCCUUUCCUGGUCAUCCCAUCCCAGGUCUCCAGUUUGGACAAUUGACCCUACAACAUGAGAAGUUGUGGCAUGUGGGACACCGCCUCAGCGUGGCUUGACAAGCAGUGCCAUGUCCGUGCCCAGGAUUACGAACCAACGAAACACUGGGCCCCCUGCAGCGGAGCGCGCGAACUUAACCACUCGGCCACGGGGCCAGCUCCAGUCCUUAAAAGGAAGAAAUCGGUUUCAGGAUGCAACUCACAGGUCCAUUCCAGAAGGUCAGGAGGUGCAGACGAGUUGAGCUGUUGACUCAGCUGAGACAUGCUCCUAACAUCGUCCUGCUUAAGUGCACGCAUCUUUUCAAGUGCAGCUAACUUACAGCCCAAGACAGAGGUCUGAUUUUUACAGAAGCUCCAAGAACUUCAUGGAGUUUUGUCCUCAAAGCAGACAGGGACGUGGGGCAGCUGCAGGAGAACGGGAGGAGGAGAGGCCGACGGCGCCGGGCGCAUGCGGAACGAGCGGGUGCCCACCCCAGGGCCCCGCCUUGUGUCUGUGACUCUGCUCUCUAAAGGCUGGCUGUGGAGUGAGACCACGUCAUUCAUUAUCAGCUGGCUUAUCUCCCUCUUGGUUUAUUUGUAGAAAGUUUCCGAAGCGUAUCUGUGAACCCUUAUUCCAUGGGAUGUCAACAAGUGUUACACACACACACACACACACACACACACAAACAGAAAAAACAACUAUCCACAGUCAAAUAAGCUUCUUUACUGCAGAAUUCUCAGGAAUUCUAGGAUCCCAGGCACACUGCGAAUCAGCACGAGAGGAACCCUGAGUGGACACGCUCAUGUUUACUGGUGAUGACGCUUUUUUCUGCAGAACAUCUGACAGGAACAGCACUGCCUGGAAGGAAGCUCAGGAAACACAGGCUUAGCUUCCUCUCUAAAUCAGUUUAUUCUCUUGUGGAUACCAGGGAUGGCAAGGAAGAUGCUUCAUCACGUAGAACAGAGAAGAAAGUGGUUCUGGGAUUAAACUGUUGUUAUAGGGAACUCACAGAACGGCCAAUUCACGCGGACAAAAUCUCUGAGAACUGACAGUUACCGUUGUGUAACUUCAUAAUGGGAUGGCGAGGAUGGGCCCUGGGCUCGUUUUUAUAUACACUGUGAAAGUUGGCAAUAGCAAUCUAUCCCUCGGUAUUUUAGAUCAAUUAUGUAAAGUUAGAAUCAUUUCGAUUUCAUUUCUCUCAAUCCACCAGACCUGAUUUUUAAAAAUUCAAGAUUCACUCAUUUGAUUUAAGUAUCACUAGUGUGAAGUAUUUCCAUCCUCCUUCUACUGGAAGCGAAUUUCCCGGUUAGGACACGGCUUCACUAGAGACGAGUAACAGCGGCUGUAACUGGAUGCUGUGUGAUUUCAUCACGCUGUGAAAACACUUCGACCAGUCCAAAUUGGUCUAUGAAGGUUUCUUUCUGUUUGUUCCAGUUCCAGCUCUCCUAAUCACUCCAGCUCCUGUGUUUGCUGGGAUUUUGUGAUAUCUCUGGAUUCUGACACAUGCUAUGAUUCAGUGCCAAAUUCCAUUUCCUAAGUUAUUG